Molecule: ribosomal RNA, 340 nt
Filed under: Clostridioides difficile
Lineage: Bacteria; Bacillati; Bacillota; Clostridia; Peptostreptococcales; Peptostreptococcaceae
Description: bacterial SSU rRNA
Rfam family: Bacterial small subunit ribosomal RNA
Source: RNAcentral
CUAACUACGUGCCAGCAGCCGCGGUAAUACGUAGGGGGCUAGCGUUAUCCGGAUUUACUGGGCGUAAAGGGUGCGUAGGCGGUCUUUCAAGUCAGGAGUGAAAGGCUACGGCUCAACCGUAGUAAGCUCUUGAAACUGGGAGACUUGAGUGCAGGAGAGGAGAGUGGAAUUCCUAGGGUAGCGGUGAAAUGCGUAGAUAGUAGGAGGAACACCAGUUGCGAAGGCGGCUCUCUGGAAUGUAACUGACGCUGAGGCACGCAAGCGUGGGGAGCAAACAGGAGUAGAUAACCUGGUAGUCCACGCUGUAAACGAUGAGUACUAGGUGUCGGGGGUUACCCCC